AUUGAACGCUGGCGGCAUGCCUUACACAUGCAAGUCGAACGGCAGCACGGGAGCAAUCCUGGUGGCGAGUGGCGAACGGGUGAGUAAUACAUCGGAACGUGCCCAGUAGUGGGGGAUAACCCGGCGAAAGCCGGACUAAUACCGCAUACGACCUACGGGUGAAAGCAGGGGAUCGCAAGACCUUGCGCUAUUGGAGCGGCCGAUGUCAGAUUAGCUUGUUGGNGGGGUAAAAGCCUACCAAGGCAACGAUCUGUAGCUGGUCUGAGAGGACGACCAGCCACACUGGGACUGAGACACGGCCCAGACUCCUACGGGAGGCAGCAGUGGGGAAUUUUGGACAAUGGGCGCAAGCCUGAUCCAGCCAUGCCGCGUGCGGGAAGAAGG
This 384-nucleotide ribosomal RNA is filed under the name uncultured bacterium. RNAcentral describes it as "bacterial SSU rRNA". It matches the Rfam family "Bacterial small subunit ribosomal RNA", at positions 29 to 414 of the family's 1533-position model. The record is from RNAcentral.